GCACGAGGUUUUCCGACACCUUCAGGACAAAAUGGGGAGGAGUCGGAAGGGCAAGCGAACAUCCUGUUAAAGCGGCACUGUGCUCUGCUUCUUGGGGCUGACAGGAGACAAGGCUAUUCUGUCUCUUCUUCUUCGGUGGGCUCUUUGUUUUCUCAAACGCCAAAUUCUUAGAAGACCCAGGUAUUCACCUAAGAAAUACUGGAUGCCCACCAAUAAGGCACCAGGAAUCCUGCUGGGGCGCCUGGCUUAGGGCGGGAAGGGGGAGCCCGCUGGCCUCCCUACGUCCCCACCGUCAUGGGGCCUCUGUGGUGAGUGGAGAUCCUGCUACCUCAGCGGCUAAAGCAACGUGGCGCUGGAGGGUGACCCCGCGGGGCAGUCAAUGUGGUGGUGUCUGAGGACGGCUGGGCGUGUGCUGGCAGGAAGGAGCAGGUACCUGGCGGGGGAUGCGUCCGUGGUACCAGGCGUGGCUGCGCAGGUCCUCACCACUCAGCAGCAGCUCCUCCUCCAGCUCCUUCUUCAGCCUCUCGGAGGUCCUGUCCAUGACGUGCCUCUCCUUGGAGAACUGCAACACAGGGUCAAUGGUGACGUCCCCCAGCUGCCCGGGACAGCCAGGCCUGCCGGCUGGAAAAACCAGCCAGCGUCGCAGUUGGCUGCUUGGCUAGUCAAGCCAGUUUAUGCCAAAAGCCUCGUUCAGACUGGAACUUGAAACUGAAACACUGGUCUUUUGCCUCUGAAGGUUUGAGGAGUAUCACGGAGGUAGGUGGCCAUGCAGCGGCCGGGGCAGGGGUCUGGAUGGGCGACAGAGCCUCCAGAUCCCUUUAGAAUCCACGCACACUCACGUGUCAGCUGCACUUGCACUCCUGCCUCAGGGAUCACUGGCUGAAGGUCACGGCAGCAGAAAAAGGCCGUGUCCUUGGGUUUUCCCAAGUUCCCCACCUUGGCCUCAAAAGCUUCUAGGAUCUCCGAAUUCUCCUCAUCACGCUGCUCUGCUCUGCUCUGCAGCAAGGGAAGGGGCCCAGACCCUUCUCCACCCAAGGAAGAGGAAGCAGACUUGGGAUUUUUACAGCCCUCAAGUCUCAGUGGGCAUGUUGGCCCAGGAGGGUACUGGCUGCAGGACUCAGGGCCACUCUCAAAGUGGGGCUCUGGUUUACCAGUUGCUUACUUCUCCCCCCUCCACUUUGCCACCACUCCCUGUCCCGCAGAGCAGACACCUGCAUCACAGAGAUGCCAAGGCCAGCUAUAUCAACUGCCCUCAGUCACCGGCAGCGCUGUUCCACGCUCGUCGUCAACUCUGUAGUUACAUCGGAAGACCCUCAUUGAGAAGACUGCAGUCCAGAACGCACAUCGUCAACCACACUGCGUUUCCUGAUAGUUUAUUUUCUGUCUCGCCUCCCACUGGAUUUUAAGUUUCACGAGAGUGGAAAAAGCCACCUGCCGCCCUCCAGCAAUGCUUGAACAAAUUAGGCUCUCCGCAGUCACUGAAUGAACCAAUACCCCAAGAUGAGGCCUCUCUAGCCUUUCCUUCGUGAUGGAGCUUCUCUUCUUUACUCGCAAACUAUAUGAAGUCUCAUGUUAGCUGAGGCGUGUUGCCACACAACUCAAGGACGUCAUUCCUCAAUUUUCCUCCCUUAAUGUCAUCAUGUGGCCAAGGAAAGGUACACAGCUGCUUAGCAGGACUUCUAAGCCCAGACCUGACGGCUGGAGCUGUUGGUGCCAUCUUGGACACGAGGAGGGAGCCACAGCCUCCAAGUGGGGAGCAGAGGCCCCAAUAGGCCCGAUCCCUCACAACAGUGGGGUCAACAGGCCAGUCCCAGUUUGCCCACCUCCAGGUAUUCUGCAUGACCUUCUGUCCUGUUUAAGCCCAUAUUUUGGUUGUUCCUGUUGCUGGCAGCUGAACUAAACUCCUAACCGAUGCUGUGACCCUAGUUUCCAUUCGGCCACCCUGACAGUCUUUCUGCCAAGCCCAAUUCCCUCAUCCUGUGCCCCGGGCCCACUUCUUCUUGGCCUGAGGUCUGAAAAUGUAGUCAUCAGGAGUCAUGCCCCAGUUAACCCUCCACCCAAACUGUAUUCACCCACACCCGAAAAGCUAUUCCCAUGUUUCUCUUUACAGCCAGCCUCCUUUCUCCCGGAUGCCCAACACCCAGGCCACUUCCCACCAUCAUCCCCUCUCUCCUUCUCAGCAUCCUUCACAAAGAGCCAAGAUUUCUUCGCAUUUUAUAAACAGUAAUCCUUCACUCCAGAUUUUGACAUAAUACUGCUUUACACUUGUUACCGGAGAUAGAAAAUCUGCUAUCUUGUUGCUUCUGCCCUAAUUCCUUAGAGGAAUAUCCACAAUUAUUGUUCUCCCCCCAACUGUGGACUGUGAAGUUGCGGCACUGUCAGCCGCUGUAGGAAAGUACCCAGGAAGGAGAGAAAAGGGGGGUCAGGUAGAUUGACCCUACCUUGAGAUGGAAACUCAGAUUUUAAAAACUAUGCCCUUAAGCUCUUGCAUAAUUUGUGCAAAGUUAGGAGGUUACCCAAUUGACUAGAUUUCCAGCUGGGGUAGAGAGAGAAGGAGGGAGAUAAAGAGGCAGGAGGAGAGGGAGUGGGAGACAGAUCCAGGCCAGCAAGCAAUUGCAAGCAAGGGGACUCUUCAUUGCAAGCCAGUGAGAGCUGGUUCUACUACCCUAAAAAGAACCAGAUCGGUUUCUGAGAGCCUCUACCUCAGCCUCAGACGUGGGCAACAUCUCUCAAACAGCUGACCAAGGCAAUCAGAAGUCACCCACACAGGGUCGCCCUCGUGAUUACAUUAGUAAUUGUUUCAGGGGUAAAUGCCUUCUAGAACUUUCACAUACUCUUUUAAUCACAUACAUUAAUGCAACUUUUAUUAUUCUUCUGAAGUGCCUAUAUUUUAUGAGCCUUGCCCUUGUCAACUACGAUGGUGCCACGAUACAUAAGUACUUUGAUGGGCUGUCAACCUCAUGGUGGGUGAGGGGUGACUGUAAAAUUUGGCAAAAUGUAUCCAUUUGCAUCUUUAAGAGCACUGUGAUGGAUAUCUGUGCUCCUCUGAGAUGAAGAAUGACAUUCCCGCUUCACAGGAUAUAUUGGUCACAUGGGACUGUGAGGUUGGCAGAAUUCCGUCGGCUUGCCCCCAACAACCAGAAUUUCUGCUAACGGUGCAGCCCUCCACUCAAUGUGACCAUCUGGGGCAAACAUGAAUUUGCUCCUGAAAUGCAGCCCUUUCAGUCAUGGCCUCAGCUAGUUUUGGGGUCUCUGGGGCCACAAAAGAAAUUCUAGCAAUUUAGGGUAACACAGCAGUACCUCUGCUCUUAGCAAUGGUUUAUCCCAUGGGUGUGGUUACUAGUGUCCUUUGAAGUUCUGACUGAUGCCACUAAUGCCAGAAAAAGUCUCCUGGCCUUCCUGAGAUUAUCUUCUGAGGAAAAAAGGAGAAAAGAGAAGUCCCUAUUCCCACAAUCACACGCGUUGUUAUCUUCUGCCGGGCCCAGAAUUAUGCAUGAGGCAGCCAAAGAGUCGUACAGGUCGAUCACUCCAGUGCCUUCCAAUCUCAGGAGAGGAAAGAACACACAAGCUCUUCAUACUAAUCUGGCCCCAUUCUUAUAGCCUCUUCUCUCAGCUCAUGUUUCCCAGCUCUUCCCCAUUUGUUUCUGCAGACAUCUUAUGAAUUCAUGUGCCUCAGAGACUCUCUGGACCCAAGUCAUUCUCAGUAUUCUGUGAGCACGAGACAGCGGGCUUCUGUGACAGGGGGCACCAUGACACCCCAGAGCCAGGUCAGUAGGGCCUGGCUUCCUCAGAAAGUUUACACGAAAUGGUAAUAGGUCCUCACUGGCCCUUUGGGUUUUAUGUUCUUUCACUACCAGAGAGACAGCAAGAAAACCCAUGAAUAUCUCUAUCUUACACAGAUGUUAUGGAUGUUAAUAACAAGCACACUGUAGCAACACACCUUUUCCUCCAUGCUCACAUUCUCUAACUACUCACCCCUGCAUCUGAACUGCAUGCCUAGAAGGCAGGUCUCACUGUGUGACCUGAGCUCCUCGUGUUGAGGAGAGGAGGGGAUGGGGGUGGGCUCAAGGGCUGGAGGCAGAGUCGAGUUUCUCUGCCCCAGCGCGGGCUCCGGAUCCAGCCAUCCCGAGCUCCCCACCACAAGGUAGCUGGGGUGUACCCACCAGAGAAAGAUUUGCUGCUAGGCUUUAAAUCAAGAACAUUCUGGGGGCGCCUGGGUGGCUCAGUGGGUUAAAGCCUCUGUCUUUGGCUCAGGUCAUGAUCCCAGGGUCCUGGGAUCGAGCCCCACAUUGGGCUCUCUGCUCAGCAGGGGACCUGCUUCCUCCUCUCUCUUAGCCUCUCUCUCUGCCUACUUAUGAUCUCUGUCUGUCAAAUAAAUAAAACCCUUAAAAAAAAAAAAAAAAGAACAUCCUGCCUGUGAGCUCUGCCAGGUUCACUGGAGCGACCAACUUCCCCACCGCCCACACGAGAGAAAGACGUGGGCUCCUACUCCGAGG
This is a long non-coding RNA of Mustela lutreola (European mink), 4496 nucleotides long. RefSeq lists it as uncharacterized. Lineage: Eukaryota; Metazoa; Chordata; Mammalia; Carnivora; Mustelidae. The transcript is spliced from 3 exons. The record is from RefSeq and is a predicted model, not a curated record.